UACGUAGGGUGCAAGCGUUAAUCGGAAUUACUGGGCGUAAAGCGUGCGCAGGCGGUUUGUUAAGUCAGCUGUGAAAUCCCCGGGCUUAACCUGGGAAUGGCAGUUGAGACUGGCAAGCUAGAGUGUGUCAGAGGGGGGUCGAAUUCCACGUGUAGCAGUGAAAUGCGUAGAGAUGUGGAGGAACACCGAUGGCGAAGGCAGCCCCCUGGGAUAACACUGACGCUCAUGCACGAAAGCGUGGGGAGCAAACAGG
RNAcentral lists this ribosomal RNA (253 nucleotides) under uncultured bacterium. RNAcentral describes it as "partial 16S ribosomal RNA". It matches the Rfam family "Bacterial small subunit ribosomal RNA", at positions 524 to 776 of the family's 1533-position model. The record is from RNAcentral.